Molecule: ribosomal RNA, 690 nt
Filed under: Triticum aestivum (bread wheat)
Lineage: Eukaryota; Viridiplantae; Streptophyta; Magnoliopsida; Poales; Poaceae
Description: partial small subunit ribosomal RNA
Source: RNAcentral
AUGGCAGCUGCAGCAGCGGGUGAGAGCACCAGGUUAAUUGGGGUGAGGAAGAAGGGGGAGGACAAGUUCGGUGCGGCGAUCAUGCACCCGGUGACGAAGACGUUCCUGUGGCUAGGGACGUACUCGUUGCCCGAGGUCGCUGCGUGCGCCUAUGACCUCGCAGCUAGGGAGCUGAAGGGCGCAAAGGCAAAGCUCAACUUCCCUUACCCUCCGCCGGCCAGACUGGUUAAGGAGGUGAUUGCUGCACCGAGGCACCGCAGCCACGGUCAUGAAGCACCGCUCUUUCAGGUCGUUACAUUGCCACCAGACCCCACAUCACCGCCUCCACCACCACCUAAGCUCGUGGUUUACUUUCCCUUCCCCAUCGAAGUACCCGCCAGCAACCCCCCGCCAGUGCCGGCAUACCCGUUCCUGCACAUGCCGCGUCCGGCACGAGCACGGCUCAGCCCGCAACCAGCGCACGCGCCCGCUCCAAAGACACAGCCGCCGAUCCAACGGAUGAACGUCAUGGUGCAGGCGGAAAGCUGCUUAAGCUCCUCAAGGGAAUCCCUAGGGGCUUCUUCGUCGCGCCGCUUGGUGUUCAAGAAACCCAAGCUGGUCGUAGUUCCCCUUACCCUUAGUGCUCCUACAGAAGGAACAGGUGACAAUUUCACCAAGCCGUGGUAUUGCCCUGAUUCUCCUGUUGUUUAG